AUUGAACGCUGGCGGCAGGCCUAACACAUGCAAGUCGAGCGGAUGAAGGGAGCUUGCUCCUGGAUUCAGCGGCGGACGGGUGAGUAAUGCCUAGGAAUCUGCCUGGUAGUGGGGGAUAACGUCCGGAAACGGGCGCUAAUACCGCAUACGUCCUGAGGGAGAAAGUGGGGGAUCUUCGGACCUCACGCUAUCAGAUGAGCCUAGGUCGGAUUAGCUAGUUGGUGGGGUAAAGGCCUACCAAGGCGACGAUCCGUAACUGGUCUGAGAGGAUGAUCAGUCACACUGGAACUGAGCCACGGUCCAGACUCCUCCGGGAGGCAGCAGUGGGGAAUAUUGGACAAUGGGCGAAAGCCUGAUCCAGCCAUGCCGCGUGUGUGAAGAAGGUCUUCGGAUUGUAAAGCACUUUCAGUUGGGAGGAAGGGCAGUAAGUUAAUAACUUGCUGUUUUGACGUUACCAACAGACUAAGCACCGGCUAACUUCGUG
RNAcentral lists this ribosomal RNA (484 nucleotides) under uncultured bacterium. RNAcentral describes it as "partial 16S ribosomal RNA". It matches the Rfam family "Bacterial small subunit ribosomal RNA", at positions 30 to 507 of the family's 1533-position model. The record is from RNAcentral.